This 440-nucleotide ribosomal RNA is filed under the name uncultured bacterium. RNAcentral's name for it is "partial 16S ribosomal RNA". It matches the Rfam family "Bacterial small subunit ribosomal RNA", at positions 338 to 795 of the family's 1533-position model. The record is from RNAcentral.
CCUACGGGAGGCAGCAGUGGGGAAUAUUGCACAAUGGGGGAAACCCUGAUGCAGCGACGCCGCGUGAGUGAAGAAGUAUUUCGGUAUGUAAAGCUCUAUCAGCAGGGAAGAAAAUGACGGUACCUGAUUAAGAAGCCCCGGCUAACUACGUGCCAGCAGCCGCGGUACUACGUAGGGGGCAAGCGUUAUCCGGAUUUACUGGGUGUAAAGGGAGCGUAGACGGCAGCACAAGUCUGGAGUGAAAGGCCGGGGCCCAACCCCGGGACUGCUCUGGAAACUAUUGAACUUGAGUGCAGGAGAGGUAAGCGGAAUUCCUAGUGUAGCGGUGAAAUGCGUAGAUAUUAGGAGGAACACCAGUGGCGAAGGCGGCUUACUGGACUGUAACUGACGCUGAGGCACGAAAGCGUGGGUAUCGAACAGGAUUAGAUACCCUUGUAGUC